RNAcentral lists this ribosomal RNA (406 nucleotides) under uncultured bacterium. RNAcentral's name for it is "partial 16S ribosomal RNA". It matches the Rfam family "Bacterial small subunit ribosomal RNA", at positions 28 to 526 of the family's 1533-position model. The record is from RNAcentral.
GUCGAACGCUGGCGGCGUGCCUAAUACAUGCAAGUAGGACGCAGUUGCGAACGGGUGAGUAACGCGUAGGUACCUACCUAAUAGAGGGGGAUAACUAUUGGAAACGAUAGCUAAUACCGCAUACUAGUAGAUGGACCUGCGUUUUAUUAGCUAGUAGGUCGGGUAAUGGCCUACCUAGGCAACGAGACAUAGCCGACCUGAGAGGGUGAUCAGCCACACUGGAACUGAGACACGGCCCAGACUCCUACGGGAGGCAGCAGUGGGGAAUCUUGGGCAAUGGGGGAACCCUUGCCGAGCAACGGCGCGUGAGUGGAUGAGGUUUUCGGGUCGGAAAGCUCUGUUGUUAAGGAAGCGGUACUUAACCAGAAAGGGACGGCUAACUACGUGCCAGCAGCCGCGGUAAUAC